This is a long non-coding RNA of Perca fluviatilis (European perch), 425 nucleotides long. RefSeq lists it as uncharacterized. The record is from RefSeq and is a predicted model, not a curated record. NCBI's taxonomy places the organism in Eukaryota, Metazoa, Chordata, Actinopteri, Perciformes, Percidae. The transcript is spliced from 3 exons.
UUUAACCUCGGCUAUCACAUGCGGCGGCUUAAUGCAUAAAGACCGGAGAAUGAGCGUUUGUCAGUCUAAUCCUUGCAGAAUUAUACGUGCACAUGUGAUACUUUGAAUCAAAUUAAUCUAUCUGUAUUCGUCAGUCUGCCAUAAAACAUUAUCUAGGGGAGUUUUAUACUUUGAGAGUGACUAAACGGCAACAGAGGACCUAUUUUCCUUCAAAGUCAAAGAAGAAGAAGGAGCAGCCCAAAUAAAUCUCAAGGUCCUAUUUAAUGGAGGCUAAACAAAAGAACACAUGUCUGUCAAAAUAGGUCUAGGAAGACCUGAUAGAAGGAAGUUGAUUGCGCAGAAGUGUGCAGAUGAACAAAAGUUGAAGUUUGAUUUAACUUAAAGGUAUGUUCAAAGUUGAUGUAGGAUUUGAGCUCAGAAUAUCU